UGUGCUCUUCUCGAUCUGGGAGGCCACAGGCUCAUGGAAAAUGGGAUGCUGUGGAUUCAUGAGAUACUGUAAAGAGUAAAUAAUGUGUGCACACUGAAGGCAGUAGGUACAAUGUAUGCGUACGAGGAGAGGGGAAUACAGAAGGAUGUCAGUAAUACAUGUGAUGUUUGCUGUGUUCCUUUUACCCGUAGAGUUGUUAAAGGAUAGAGUUAAAAAUAAAAAAGGGUCACCUUGCGUAAUCUUAAAAAAUAAUAAUAGCAUAGUCUGUUUCUUUGUUUCAUCUUGUUUAUUUUCAUGGGAAUUUUCUUUUAGGGAAACUUAUCUUUUGAUAAAGGAGAUACAGUGUUUUUUCAGCCAGCUGGGAUGAAAAGCAAAAGAAUAAAGUCAGGGAUACAGAUGGCAGGCAUUGGCUGUGAUAAAUAUGAGUCAGACUGAUCACAAAUCCAUGACCAAGUAGAGGUCUUGCAGUUAUAAAAACUUUUGAAGACAAUUUUCAGGGUUAUUAUAUAAUGAAAAUCUUGGAGACCCAUGAAACUCCUGGAGCCCUGAUCCCAAGGGGUCUCUCGAAUAUCAUUAACCUAACAGUGUCCUUUUCUCUGGGCAUAGGGACUAUUCUGUGUUGGGUUUCUUCACGUGUCACUCAGACAUCCUGAGAUCAAGUAAUGAAACAACAAUUCCUAAACCCACAUCUGUUUGCUCCUAUUAUUUGCUGUGUAGUUGAUAUACUUUCUGUGUUUUUCCCUUUAGAAAUCGGAGCCUAGACAAACACAAGCUUGAAGUGCUCCUUCCUUGAACAAUGGAAGGUACUGUUGUGCUUUGCAGCUACACAGAGGCAUACUUGAAGCUGAGUUUGCUCACUCAUCACAGGAGUUUGAAAUCUGAGCACCAAUGAUUCCUUUACUUAAAGGAGUCUAUUAAGAAAACACAAAGCCAGAUCUGGCUUUCUAACCAAUAUUAAGGAAGAAAGGAAACAGAGAGCUCUAUUUUUUUCUUUAUUAUGAGGAUACACUUCAUUCCUAUCCAAGCAAAAACUCCUUGUCAUAUAUAAUGAAAAUGCAUCUUUGUUAAAAAGCAGUAAGAUUGAGAAUGUUAUGAGGGCAUAUUCCAUUCAAAUAUUUUUAAUAAAGGAACUAUCUCAAAUACAUCUAUUAAUGGUGGAUGUUCAACAACAGAUUGAUUCUCUAAUUAGUCUCUAUAAUUGAUUAAUGUUUAUUGUAAAUGUGUCAACUUAUAACUAGGUCAGAUACUGUCUUUUAAAUGGCUUGGCAAAAUUUAAUCACAUGCUAUUGCUCUGUAAUAACUUCAUUUAGGUUAGCUUACAUGUGAAUAUUCAACUAAGUCAUAAGUUCUUCUCUGUCACCUUCCUUUACUCUUCUUUAAUCUUGGCAUGGAAUCAGAGAGAAAUACUAAGUACUCAAUUAUGAGUUUAGUUAUUUGCUAGACAUAAAUACACUGGAUACACCCACCUACACAUAGGUACAUACACAUAUAGAUAUAUACACACACUCACACCUAUA
This is a long non-coding RNA of Leopardus geoffroyi (Geoffroy's cat), 1517 nucleotides long. RefSeq lists it as uncharacterized. The transcript is spliced from 3 exons. The record is from RefSeq and is a predicted model, not a curated record. NCBI's taxonomy places the organism in Eukaryota, Metazoa, Chordata, Mammalia, Carnivora, Felidae.